AAAAAUCAAUAUUGAAUCGGUUCGGUUGGAUUGAAGAUGUGAGCAUUUAUGUAUCACCCUCCUUCUGAUCUCUUCAAUAAAUACACACUCAUCCUUCUACCAAUCUCCACUUGAUCCUCAUUACCACUCUUCCUUCUCUUCUCACACAACACAUUCACUCAGAGAUAGAAAUUGCGAGAGAGAAUAGGGUUUUUGUGUGGAACAAGUGUUGUAUGUAAUUAGUGUCGGGCAUUCUUGUGAGAAAUGACUUCCUUAUAUUGAAAUAGAGAUUUAGGUGGUUAAUCCCAAGUGAGUCAAACAUUGCUAAAGUAAGUAUCAACACCUCAUAUAGGUAAUCAAUCAGGAUGCCACUGGUGUUUGAUAUUAUUUCUUUUCAGUUUUUGGUUGAGUUAACUUGCAGUCACAUUCUUAUAUCUUUGGCAGCUCAGUGAUAUAAUUGACAUCACUCACAUUUCAAUAAAAAAAAAAACUUCUCUUUCUGAUUAUUUCUUCUUGGAGCAAUAGAUUCUGGCCAAACAACAAAAGCAGAGUGUAUUUGCUUGAGAACACCGGCCUGUAUCUCUCUUAUGAUUUGGCUUACUUUCUAGCCUUUUGUGUUACUUUUUUCUUUCUCACUUUCUUUGUGCAGGUCUAUGCUUGUUCCUGAUAACUGAAGUAUUUGCAUACCUGCAUUCUUGAGGAUCUGAAGGAGGUUCAUUUUCUGCUUCAGUUAGAUUAUCUUCCUUUCCAUGCCGAAGUUGAGAAACGUCAUGGCCUUCCACAUGCAUGCAGGGGUGAGAAAUCUGAACAGCGGCUUCUAAGGCAUCCUCAAUGGCUGUGGCAAAGGGAAUACAAUGAACUUUGUCUUGAGAAGAUGCUCUAUGUUUUGAGGACCAGGAGGUGAUAAUGCUGUUGAGGCUGGUGAACCAAGGCCCUUUUAAUGUAAAUAUCCAAUUUAAUUUCUCAACUGCAUUAAGGCGCAUUGUGAUAAAAUCAAUCCAAAAUGAUGUCAAUGUUUGUAAGGCACUGAAAGUAGCUAACAUUGCUUCCUAAAGUUUGCUUUCUUUAGUUUGUGAAGUCGUGUUUCUAUUGGUGUUUAGGUUUAGUGUCUGAUUCUUUAUGUUGUUAAUUUUUUAUGGCAUGUAUGCAUAGUUUAAGCUCUUACUUACCAUAGUUAGCUCAUGACAAUAAAGAAUUGUUGUAUGUAAUUAGUGUCGGCACAUGUUGAGUUGUGGAUUCUUGUGCGAAAUGACUUCCUUACAUUGAAAUAGAGGUGAAAGGAUCAUCUACCUUGUAUGUAAUUAGUGUCAACACGUGUUAAAUGAAAAAAAAGGAUCUGUGUACAGUGUACUAGCUAAUAUUCCUAGACUUUGGAAAUGAA
Molecule: long non-coding RNA, 1360 nt
Organism: Lotus japonicus
Lineage: Eukaryota; Viridiplantae; Streptophyta; Magnoliopsida; Fabales; Fabaceae
Exons: 4
Source: RefSeq, a predicted model, not a curated record